ACGCUCGACCCUACGGGAGCAGCAGUGGGGAAUAUUGCACAAUGGGGGAAACCCUGAUGCAGCGACGCCGCGUGAAGGAAGAAGUAUUUCGGUAUGUAAACUUCUAUCAGCAGGGAAGAAACUGACAGUACCUGACUAAGAAGCACCGGCUAAAUACGUGCCAGCAGCCACGGUAAUCUGAGCGGGCUGGCAAGGC
This 196-nucleotide ribosomal RNA is filed under the name uncultured bacterium. RNAcentral describes it as "partial 16S ribosomal RNA". It matches the Rfam family "Bacterial small subunit ribosomal RNA", at positions 326 to 539 of the family's 1533-position model. The record is from RNAcentral.